UACGUAGGGGGCAAGCGUUGUCCGGAAUCAUUGGGCGUAAAGAGCGUGUAGGCGGCUCGAUAAGUCUGCUGUGAAAGUCCAGGGCUCAACCCUGAAGGCCGGUGGAAACUGUCGGGCUAGAGUCCGGAAGAGGCGAGUGGAAUUCCCGGUGUAGCGGUGAAAUGCGCAGAUAUCGGGAGGAACACCAAUGGCGAAGGCGGCUCGCUGGGCCACACCUGACGCUGAGACGCGAAAGCUAGGGGAGCGAACAGG
This 252-nucleotide ribosomal RNA is filed under the name uncultured bacterium. Its description in RNAcentral is "partial 16S ribosomal RNA". It matches the Rfam family "Bacterial small subunit ribosomal RNA", at positions 524 to 776 of the family's 1533-position model. The record is from RNAcentral.